GUGGGGAAUUUUGGACAAUGGGCGCAAGCCUGAUCCAGCAAUGCCGCGUGCAGGAAGGAGGCCUUCGGGUUGUAAACUGCUUUUGUACGGAACGAAACGGUCCUGGCUAAUACCCGGGGCUAAUGACGGUACCGUAAGAAUAAGCACCGGCUAACUACGUGCCAGCAGCCGCGGUAAUACGUAGGGUGCGAGCGUUAAUCGGAAUUACUGGGCGUAAAGCGUGCGCAGGCGGUGCUGUAAGACAGGCGUGAAAUCCCCGGGCUCAACCUGGGAAUUGCGCUUGUGACUGCAGUGCUGGAGUGCGGCAGAGGGGGAUGGAAUUCCGCGUGUAGCAGUGAAAUGCGUAGAUAUGCGGAGGAACACCGAUGGCGAAGGCAAUCCCCUGGGCCUGCACUGACGCUCAUGCACGAAAGCGUGGGGAGCAAACAGGAUUAGAAACCCUGGUAGUCC
Molecule: ribosomal RNA, 450 nt
Filed under: uncultured bacterium
Lineage: Bacteria
Description: partial 16S ribosomal RNA
Rfam family: Bacterial small subunit ribosomal RNA
Source: RNAcentral